GAAUAAAGAAACAGGAAUGUCGUG
RNAcentral lists this non-coding RNA (24 nucleotides) under Rattus norvegicus (Norway rat). The record is from RNAcentral. Lineage: Eukaryota; Metazoa; Chordata; Mammalia; Rodentia; Muridae.